CAUAUGCGUGUCAAGCUGUCAGGCGUUGCGUGUGUGGGGUUGUGGGACCUUUCGAGAGCCACUGACAUGGUUCUGACCAGUAAAAAAGUCGUGUCAUAGUCGAACCGCAUUGAAUGGCGGACCGUAGAGGGUGGGAGUCCCGUAGACGAAAUGGCGUGGCCUGGUGAAGGGGAUCCCAAGUAGCACGGGGCCCGAGAAAUCCCGUGUGAAUCUGGCAAGACCACUUGCUAAGCCUAAAUACUACCUAGUGACCGAUAGCGGACAAGUACCGUGAGGGAAAGGUGAAAAGUACCCCGGGAGGGGAGUGAAAUAGUACCUGAAACCGUGUGCCUACAAUCCGUCGGAGCCUCCCUAGCAGGGGUGACGGCGUGCCUUUUGAAGAAUGAGCCUGCGAGUUAGUGCUCGGUGGCGAGGUUAACCCGUGUGGGGAAGCCGUAGCGAAAGCGAGUCCGAACAGGGCGAUUCAGUCGCCGGGUCUAGACCCGAAGCGAAGUGAUCUAGCCAUGGGCAGGUUGAAGCGCCGGUAAGACGGCGUGGAGGACCGAACCCACUUAGGUUGAAAACUGAGGGGAUGACCUGUGGUUAGGGGUGAAAGGCCAAUCAAACUUCGUGAUAGCUGGUUCUCCCCGAAAUGCAUUUAGGUGCAGCGUCACGCGUUCCUUGCCGGAGGUAGAGCUACUGGAUGGCCGAUGGGCCUCACCAGGUUACUGACGUCAACCAAACUCCGAAUGCCGGUAAGCCAGAGCGUGGCAGUGAGACUGCGGGGGAUAAGCUUCGUAGUCGAGAGGGAAACAGCCCAGACCACCGGCUAAGGCCCCUAAGCGUGUGCUCAGUGGGAAAGGAUGUGGAGUUGCACAGACAACCAGGAGGUUGGCUUAGAAGCAGCCACCCUUGAAAGAGUGCGUAAUAGCUCACUGGUCAAGUGAUUCCGCGCCGACAAUGUAGCGGGGCUCAAGUACACCGCCGAAGCCGUGGCACUCACACUUUACCCAG
This 993-nucleotide ribosomal RNA is filed under the name Isoptericola sp. CG 20/1183. RNAcentral describes it as "bacterial LSU rRNA". It matches the Rfam family "Bacterial large subunit ribosomal RNA", at positions 275 to 1220 of the family's 2925-position model. Lineage: Bacteria; Bacillati; Actinomycetota; Actinomycetes; Micrococcales; Promicromonosporaceae. The record is from RNAcentral.